RNAcentral lists this unclassified non-coding RNA (391 nucleotides) under soil metagenome. Its description in RNAcentral is "partial contains 5.8S ribosomal RNA, internal transcribed spacer 2, and large subunit ribosomal RNA". The stretch from base 1 to 122 matches the Rfam family "5.8S ribosomal RNA", at positions 35 to 154 of the family's 154-position model. The record is from RNAcentral.
GAUGAAGAACGUAUCGAAAUGCGAUACUUGGUGUGAAUUGCAGAAUCCCGUGAACCAUCGAGUCUUUGAACGCAAGUUGCGCCCGAAGCCACUAGGCCGAGGGCACGCCUGCCUGGGCGUCACACGCCGUUGCCCCCCCAUCUACUCCUUCGGGAUUGCGGGGGGGCGGAUGAUGGCCUCCUGUGCGCCUAGCCGCGCGGUUGGCAUAAAUACCAAGUCCUCGGCGACGCACGCCACGACAAUCGGUGGUUGCGAAACCUCGGUUGCCCGUCGUGUGCGUUCGUCGCGCAUCGAGGGCUCGAAAAAAUGCUCGGCUCCGGCUGGGCUUUCAACGCGACCCCAGGUCAGGCGGGGUUACCCGCUGAAUUUAAGCAUAUCAAUAAGCGGAGGA